Long non-coding RNA from Uranotaenia lowii, 203 nucleotides. RefSeq lists it as uncharacterized. The record is from RefSeq and is a predicted model, not a curated record. Lineage: Eukaryota; Metazoa; Arthropoda; Insecta; Diptera; Culicidae. The transcript has 3 exons.
CUUGUCAUUUUUGCUGGAAAAUCAGCAAUCGGUUUUCAAAUUGCUGGACUUUCCAGCAAUCGGUCUAGUUUGCUGGAAAAUCAGCAAUCGAGUUGUCAAAUUGGAGUCUGUUUGUUUUCGUACGCUGAAGCAAGCAACCAGACAUCAAGUCAAGGGUGGCGGAUGAUUAUCACAUUGGCACAAAGCUGCCACCCCGGAGGCGG